AUAAUAAAUAUAAUAAAAGAAAGGAAACGAAUUUAAAAAAAAAGAAAAAGAAAAGAAAAGAAAAGAAAAGAAAGGAAAAGAAAAAAAGAAGAUAAUACAUAAAAUUUUAAUUUAAAAAUAAGUGGCUCAUUUGUAGCCACAAACCAAAUAAAUAAAAAAUAAAAAAAAAAAAGAAAAGAAAAGAAAAGAGGAAAGAAGAAGAGACUAGAAGUGAAGAGAGAAACCGAUUUUUGUUUUCUCCAUUUUCUUCUCCUUCCUCUGCCGUGAAACCUCCUUUCUCCAUUUGUUUUUCUACACCAAAAUUGCUUCAAAAUUUCACCUCCAAUUAAUUCCCCAUCUUCUCUCAACACCUUUCCAAAGAAGCAUUUGAAGAAAAGAAGGGAAAUCAAAGAGAAAUUUCAAGGGUGAGGGAGAGUAAAUAGUAACCAAGGGUUUGGAAAUUUGAAAGUGGAAAGGAAAAGUGGAAGUUCCAAAGGGAAAGAAAAGGAAGAGUAGAGAAGUAAAGCUUGUAGAAUAUUUUGGAAAUUCUAAGGUUGUAGAUUCAAAGAGCAGUAGAUCAAGAUCUGCAUCAACCCAGCCAGAGUUACAUCAUCAUCUAUAUUGGGGUAUAUUUUGUAAAUUUUUAUAUGAACUUGAUUUUUGGACAUAUGGCAUGUACAUAAGGUUUUAGAGAUAAAGUUGAAUAUGGUUUGAAACAGAUAUAGUUAAUUAUUUUAAUUUUAGUGUAAAUGUGGAUGGUUAGUAUAAGUUUCUGUGUUGAGAUUAAUGAAAUGUUAUGAAGCGUUUGAUCGAAAUUGAAACUGUUUUGAUGUUGAAAGAAGUUUGGGGGUUAAGGUUGAAAUUGAUAGAAGUGUGUUAUUACUUUUCACAGGUGGAAUUAAGUCCAUAUUUAAGGGGAAACUCUGCCGGAUUUUUGUAAAAAAAAAAAAAAAAAAAAAAAAACAGCCAUGAUUUACAUGAUAUAAAUUAAAGGAAAAAUAAGAGAAUUGUUACAAGAUGUAAUGUCUCCGACUCAGUUAAUUAAUUAACCGGGUAGGGGGGUG
Long non-coding RNA from Manihot esculenta (cassava), 1043 nucleotides. RefSeq lists it as uncharacterized. The record is from RefSeq and is a predicted model, not a curated record. NCBI's taxonomy places the organism in Eukaryota, Viridiplantae, Streptophyta, Magnoliopsida, Malpighiales, Euphorbiaceae. The transcript is spliced from 3 exons.